This 30-nucleotide non-coding RNA is filed under the name Rattus norvegicus (Norway rat). Lineage: Eukaryota; Metazoa; Chordata; Mammalia; Rodentia; Muridae. The record is from RNAcentral.
UCACUAGUGAUUCUUGUGCGGUUCCUAUAC